This is a long non-coding RNA of Hordeum vulgare subsp. vulgare (domesticated barley), 609 nucleotides long. RefSeq lists it as uncharacterized. Lineage: Eukaryota; Viridiplantae; Streptophyta; Magnoliopsida; Poales; Poaceae. The record is from RefSeq and is a predicted model, not a curated record. The transcript has 2 exons.
GUAAGUUGUGUCCCCCGUGUUGCCCUAGUUUGCCUAGACCCAUUCCUCCCUCCACUUCGCCUCGCCGCCGCGAGGUAAGAUAGCUUCGCGCCCUGUUGUCGCCGCGUCCGCCGUGCUCCGGCUGAGCAGCAGCUCGGGCCCGGAGUUGAUCUUCAUCGCUCCCUCUCCCUCUGGUGCACGCGAAGGGAUCCUCCCCAUGCUCCUCUCUGUCUUCGACGGCUCGCGGGGCCCCAAGGAGUCGCCUCGAUGUUGUUUGCUUCCUCUUCUUCUCAGGCAGAACCGGUUCGGAAGUGCGCCGGACUUCAGCAGCUCGCCAUCACAUUCUCAAGCCUCUUUCGACAUCGUCUUCGUGCCCUAGGUACAGGAACCCCUGAUGCAGGAGUUCCCGAUGCCAGCCAGCUGAAGUAGGAGUUCGAUGAGGACAGCGGCAGGUUGCAUGUGACUUAUCCCGAGAACUAAAGGUCGUGGUCGUGAUCGUGGGGCCAGCAUGCGGGAUAUCAUAGCUUUUGUUGUUUAUCUUUUCCUAGCCGGACCAUUCCAUGUUCUGAAUAAUGUAUGAAUGUAUGACUAUGUACUUUAUCAGAUGGAAAGUGUGUUCCCUACUCGUCA